This is a non-coding RNA of Cucurbita pepo subsp. pepo (vegetable marrow), 1094 nucleotides long. Lineage: Eukaryota; Viridiplantae; Streptophyta; Magnoliopsida; Cucurbitales; Cucurbitaceae. The record is from RefSeq and is a predicted model, not a curated record.
GUUUCUAAAAUGCGUUUGCUAGGGAGAGGCUUCCACACCCUUAUAAAGGUUGUUUCGUUCUCCUCCCCAACCGAUGUAGGAUCUCACUGUGGAGCUUGGAGCUUGUAAUGGCUUUUGAACAAGAUUUCUCCAUUGAAAUACCAGAUGAAAAUGCCUAUAAGCUUACUUGCUGUGCCGAUGUACAGGAGGACUCGAUUCAGUCGACACUUCUGCCAUAUAUGCUUGUAGGGGUUGAGAUGUUUGGUGCUGCAACCUGAGGAUACCAGAAGUAUACAUGCGGAUGCCUCCUCCAAACGACGAUAAUUGCAGCUGUUUGCGACCUGCAAAAUGAGCAGGUCGACAGCGUAUGUUCUUUGGUGUGCGAAGAAUCUUGAUGGAACAGACCUUUUCAAAGCUCUGUGUUGCAUGAAACCGGGAUGGAAUAUCAAUAAUGAAGUCUCCAAAUUCAUCUGUGAUUCCACGUACCCAAUCAGAAGAUUUGCUGUUUUUUCUAGAGUUGUGGCACCUCACACCCACCAUGGCACCUGCAGUGAUUGAUAUUCAUCAGAAAGGCCAUGCAUGAACUCGAGGUUCAUCACCAUGCAAACAAGCUUCACAAAGAAGAGAGCCUGUGACCAAAACUGUGGACAGUCUCUCCUCGCCAUAUCCUGCUGUCUGCCUCCAUUCGUCUCGACUCAACAGAUCGGAUAACGGGGUCUCACGUUCCACAGAUUCGACUACCGUCGGAAAUCCAUAGGCAAAAAGGAGGAAGAAGAAGAAGAAGAAGAAACAAUGGUAGAAGCUGCAAACUCUGGUCAGCAUCUUCUUUCUUUAGGCUUUAGGAAACUAAUAUGAUCACACAAAUCAAUCUGACACCAUAUUAGAUGCAUAUUCCUUGGGUUAUAUAAUCUUUUUAGAACGAGACAUCUUCCAUUUUCUCGACACGUUGAAGUUACCGAAAUACCCUUUCUGGGUUUGACAUUGGUUACUUUAUGUGUUGGAUUUUGACCAUCUUCCCCUCUUAGGGGUAGGCUUUUACCAGAUGAAAAAGAUGGGUUCUAUUUUAUGUGAAUUUGACCAGAAGGCUGCUCCAUUAAGAUAGUAUUUGAUUCAUA